AGCAUGCUGAUUAAGGUUGCUUGGUUUUUUACUAAACAUUAACUGAAUGAAAACGGGUAGUCCUUGUUCUGCUUGGGGGGCUUUAAGGAAGCAAAUGGACUUUCAGAACAGAGAUUGUCAAUAAAGCUUUCUGGAAGUUACAUGGAGAUUCAUGAUAAGAAUUUUGGAUUCACACACUGAAUUUGGCAUAAAUGUUUUCAAAGAAAUUCAUAAUCUGCGUGUUUUCUGAGAUGUGGUACAUGGAAUUCAGAGAGCUCCAACAUUGGAAUAUGAGUGAUCUGAAGCAAAACUCUGGUUAUGUAACCCUGAAUUCACUUACCAGUUCAUGCCAGCCAAGUCUCUGACCCUUGGUUUUCCUUUUCAUGGGACCGAGCUAAUGACAUUCAUUUCACAGGGUUGUGGAGAGGAUUAGUUCUCAUGUAUAAAGUGCCCCAAAUAGUGAAGAGUUCCCAGCAAACAAUCAUUAUAGGAUAUUUCUUAUUGUUUGUUUUUUCUCCCUUUUUCAUGCUUUCUUAUUACUAUCCACAAUAGGGGUUGCCUCUCUUCACAAUUGCUGUGUAAGUGUCUUACCAAUGGGUUUCAGCCCCGAGCAAGUUCACUAUGGAUUCAAUGUGACCAAAGAAGUUGACAGCAAAACGUUCUUUGGGGUGAAAGGGUUUAUUAUCCGCUUGUUCUCCAGCGGUAGGUCGAACACUAGCGUCUCUGCCUCUGCCCAGAGCACUGGGCUGAGCUCUCUAUAUAGUGCAAUAAUAGCUUAUUGCCUAAAAGGUGUGGAAGCGGCAGCCCAGGAACAUCCAGUUACAUCAUCAGGUGCUUUAAGUUCAGUGAGGAUCCUGGCCAUAGGAACCCCAACUUCCCUAUAGUCCACCCCUCCGGGAUUCUUGCCUUAUAAUCUACACUCUUUUGAUCUUCCACAAUGGUCCCUGUGCGAAAAAGCUGGAGCACUGUAACCAGGUUCCACAAUAGCAACAGAAGAUAACAACAAC
Molecule: long non-coding RNA, 986 nt
Organism: Manis pentadactyla (Chinese pangolin)
Lineage: Eukaryota; Metazoa; Chordata; Mammalia; Pholidota; Manidae
Exons: 3
Source: RefSeq, a predicted model, not a curated record